UACGUAGGGAGCAAGCGUUGUCCGGAAUCAUUGGGCGUAAAGCGCGCGUAGGCGGCCCCGUAAGUCCGCUGUGAAAGUCAAAGGCUCAACCUUUGAAAGCCGGUGGAUACUGUGGGGCUAGAGUCCGGAAGAGGCGAGUGGAAUUCCUGGUGUAGCGGUGGAAUGCGCAGAUAUCAGGAGGAACACCAAUAGCGAAGGCAGCUCGCUGGGACGGUACUGACGCUAAGGCGCGAAAGCGUGGGGAGCGAACGAGG
This 254-nucleotide ribosomal RNA is filed under the name uncultured bacterium. Its description in RNAcentral is "partial 16S ribosomal RNA". It matches the Rfam family "Bacterial small subunit ribosomal RNA", at positions 524 to 777 of the family's 1533-position model. The record is from RNAcentral.